GACACGCUUAAAAAGCCUGCGCCAUCUCUAAAGAACUUUGGGCGUUACCCUUUAAAAUUCGUCUGUCUGCUUUGAAACAUGCGCCCAGUUGCGCCCUGCAUGCGCCCUGUAGACUAGCUAAAGGGGAAAUGUCAUCAAUAAAUUACCGGAGCUUUAAAUUAACUGCAAUUCAAGGUAUGCAGCAACCAGCAAGGGUAUUUCUUCAUUGAUCUUUGACUUAUAUGGCAGAUUGAAAUGGUUCAAAGGCAUCUAAAAAUAAUUGGAAUACCAGUUACCUUCUCAUGGUUUUAAAAUAAUCACUUUCAGUAGCUUUUUACACUGACCGAAGCUGACAGCGAAAUUAUUCUGCUUCAAUGAUACCCUGUUGGAAAAAUAAAUUUGCAAUCAGUGUCUGCUGAUA
Long non-coding RNA from Daphnia pulex (common water flea), 400 nucleotides. RefSeq lists it as uncharacterized. NCBI's taxonomy places the organism in Eukaryota, Metazoa, Arthropoda, Branchiopoda, Diplostraca, Daphniidae. The record is from RefSeq and is a predicted model, not a curated record. The transcript is spliced from 2 exons.